Molecule: ribosomal RNA, 2376 nt
Filed under: Salmonella enterica
Lineage: Bacteria; Pseudomonadati; Pseudomonadota; Gammaproteobacteria; Enterobacterales; Enterobacteriaceae
Description: partial 23S ribosomal RNA
Rfam family: Bacterial large subunit ribosomal RNA
Source: RNAcentral
AACGGUGAGUGCUUUGGGGUGGGGUGACUGCGUACCUUUUGUAUAAUGGGUCAGCGACUUAUAUUCUGUAGCAAGGUUAACCGUAUAGGGGAGCCGAAGGGAAACCGAGUCUUAACCGGGCGUUAAGUUGCAGGGUAUAGACCCGAAACCCGGUGAUCUAGCCAUGGGCAGGUUGAAGGUUGGGUAACACUAACUGGAGGACCGAACCGACUAAUGUUGAAAAAUUAGCGGAUGACCUGUGGCUGGGGGUGAAAGGCCAAUCAAACCGGGAGAUAGCUGGUUCUCCCCGAAAGCUAUUUAGGUAGCGCCUCGUGAAUUCAUCUCCGGGGGUAGAGCACUGUUUCGGCUAGGGGGCCAUCCCGGCUUACCAACCCGAUGCAAACUGCGAAUACCGGAGAAUGUUAUCACGGGAGACACACGGCGGGUGCUAACGUCCGUCGUGAAGAGGGAAACAACCCAGACCGCCAGCUAAGGUCCCAAAGUCAUGGUUAAGUGGGAAACGAUGUGGGAAGGCCCAGACAGCCAGGAUGUUGGCUUAGAAGCAGCCAUCAUUUAAAGAAAGCGUAAUAGCUCACUGGUCGAGUCGGCCUGCGCGGAAGAUGUAACGGGGCUAAACCAUGCACCGAAGCUGCGGCAGCGACACUAUGUGUUGUUGGGUAGGGGAGCGUUCUGUAAGCCUGCGAAGGUGGCCUGUGAGGGUUGCUGGAGGUAUCAGAAGUGCGAAUGCUGACAUAAGUAACGAUAAAGCGGGUGAAAAGCCCGCUCGCCGGAAGACCAAGGGUUCCUGUCCAACGUUAAUCGGGGCAGGGUGAGUCGACCCCUAAGGCGAGGCCGAAAGGCGUAGUCGAUGGGAAACGGGUUAAUAUUCCCGUACUUGGUGUUACUGCGAAGGGGGGACGGAGAAGGCUAUGUUGGCCGGGCGACGGUUGUCCCGGUUUAAGCGUGUAGGUGUGUGUUCCAGGUAAAUCCGGUUCACUUUAACACUGAGGCGUGACGACGAGGCACUACGGUGCUGAAGCAACAAAUGCCCUGCUUCCAGGAAAAGCCUCUAAGCAUCAGGUAACAUCAAAUCGUACCCCAAACCGACACAGGUGGUCAGGUAGAGAAUACCAAGGCGCUUGAGAGAACUCGGGUGAAGGAACUAGGCAAAAUGGUGCCGUAACUUCGGGAGAAGGCACGCUGACACGUAGGUGAAGUGAUUUACUCACGGAGCUGAAGUCAGUCGAAGAUACCAGCUGGCUGCAACUGUUUAUUAAAAACACAGCACUGUGCAAACACGAAAGUGGACGUAUACGGUGUGACGCCUGCCCGGUGCCGGAAGGUUAAUUGAUGGGGUCAGCGCAAGCGAAGCUCCUGAUCGAAGCCCCGGUAAACGGCGGCCGUAACUAUAACGGUCCUAAGGUAGCGAAAUUCCUUGUCGGGUAAGUUCCGACCUGCACGAAUGGCGUAAUGAUGGCCAGGCUGUCUCCACCCGAGACUCAGUGAAAUUGAACUCGCUGUGAAGAUGCAGUGUACCCGCGGCAAGACGGAAAGACCCCGUGAACCUUUACUAUAGCUUGACACUGAACAUUGAGCCUUGAUGUGUAGGAUAGGUGGGAGGCUUUGAAGCGUGGACGCCAGUCUGCGUGGAGCCGACCUUGAAAUACCACCCUUUAAUGUUUGAUGUUCUAACGUGGACCCGUGAUCCGGGUUGCGGACAGUGUCUGGUGGGUAGUUUGACUGGGGCGGUCUCCUCCUAAAGAGUAACGGAGGAGCACGAAGGUUGGCUAAUCCUGGUCGGACAUCAGGAGGUUAGUGCAAUGGCAUAAGCCAGCUUGACUGCGAGCGUGACGGCGCGAGCAGGUGCGAAAGCAGGUCAUAGUGAUCCGGUGGUUCUGAAUGGAAGGGCCAUCGCUCAACGGAUAAAAGGUACUCCGGGGAUAACAGGCUGAUACCGCCCAAGAGUUCAUAUCGACGGCGGUGUUUGGCACCUCGAUGUCGGCUCAUCACAUCCUGGGGCUGAAGUAGGUCCCAAGGGUAUGGCUGUUCGCCAUUUAAAGUGGUACGCGAGCUGGGUUUAGAACGUCGUGAGACAGUUCGGUCCCUAUCUGCCGUGGGCGCUGGAGAACUGAGGGGGGCUGCUCCUAGUACGAGAGGACCGGAGUGGACGCAUCACUGGUGUUCGGGUUGUCAUGCCAAUGGCACUGCCCGGUAGCUAAAUGCGGAAGAGAUAAGUGCUGAAAGCAUCUAAGCACGAAACUUGCCCCGAGAUGAGUUCUCCCUGAGACUUUAGGUCUCCUGAAGGAACGUUGAAGACGACGACGUUGAUAGGCCGGGUGUGUAAGCGCAGCGAUGCGUUGAGCUAACCGGUACUAAUGAACCGUGAGGCUUAACCUU